UCUACGGGUGGCAGCAGUGGGGAAUAUUGCGCAAUGGGCGAAAGCCUGACGCAGCGACGCCGCGUGAGGGAAGACUGCCCUAUGGGUUGUAAACCUCUUUUGUCAGGGAGCAAUUGGCGCUACGUGUAGCGUUAUCGAGAGUACCUGAAGAAAAAGCAUCGGCUAACUCCGUGCCAGCAGCCGCGGUAAUACGGAGGAUGCGAGCGUUAUCCGGAUUUAUUGGGUUUAAGGGGUGCGUAGGCGGAAUGCCAAGUCAGCGGUAAAAUCGCGGGGCUCAACCUCGCUCCGCCGUUGAAACUGGCGUUCUUGAGUGGGCGAGAAGUAUGCGGAAUGCGUGGUGUAGCGGUGAAAUGCAUAGAUAUCACGCAGAACUCCGAUUGCGAAGGCAGCAUACCGGCGCCCAACUGACGCUGAAGCACGAAAGCGUGGGUAUCGAACAGGAUUAGAUACCCGGGUAGUC
RNAcentral lists this ribosomal RNA (460 nucleotides) under uncultured bacterium. RNAcentral describes it as "partial 16S ribosomal RNA". It matches the Rfam family "Bacterial small subunit ribosomal RNA", at positions 338 to 795 of the family's 1533-position model. The record is from RNAcentral.